UGGAGGCAGCAGUGGGGAAUCUUGCGCAAUGGGCGAAAGCCUGACGCAGCAACGCCGCGUGUGUGAUGAAGGUCUUCGGAUCGUAAAGCACUGUCGGGAGGGACGAAUAAGCUCCGGGCGAAUAUCCCGGGGCGAUGACGGUACCUCCAAAGGAAGCACCGGCUAACUCUGUGCCAGCAGCCGCGGUAAUACAGAGGGUGCAAGCGUUGUUCGGAAUUAUUGGGCGUAAAGCGCGUGUAGGCGGCCUAGCAAGUCGGAUGUGAAAGCCCUCGGCUUAACCGAGGAAGUGCGUUCGAAACUACUGGGCUUGAGUACCGGAGAGGGUGGCGGAAUUCCCGGUGUAGAGGUGAAAUUCGUAGAUAUCGGGAGGAACACCAGUGGCGAAGGCGGCCACCUGGACGGCUACUGACGCUGAGACGCGAAAGCGUGGGGAGCAAACAGGAUUAGAUACCCGUGUAGUCGU
This 463-nucleotide ribosomal RNA is filed under the name uncultured bacterium. RNAcentral describes it as "bacterial SSU rRNA". It matches the Rfam family "Bacterial small subunit ribosomal RNA", at positions 343 to 797 of the family's 1533-position model. The record is from RNAcentral.